Molecule: ribosomal RNA, 497 nt
Filed under: uncultured bacterium
Lineage: Bacteria
Description: partial 16S ribosomal RNA
Rfam family: Bacterial small subunit ribosomal RNA
Source: RNAcentral
GAUGAACGCUGGCGGCGUGCCUAAUACAUGCAAGUCGAGCGAACGGACGAGAAGCUUGCUUCUCUGAUGUUAGCGGCGGACGUGUGAGUAACACGUGGAUAACCUACCUAUAAGACUGGUAUAACUUCGGGAAACCGGAGCUAAUACCGGAUAAUAUUUUGAACCGCAUGGUUCAAAAGUGAAAGACGGUCUUGCUGUCACUUAUAGAUGGAUCCGCGCUGCAUUAGCUAGUUGGUAAGGUAACGGCUUACCAAGGCAACGAUGCAUAGCCGACCUGAGAGGGUGAUCGGCCACACUGGAACUGAGACACGGUCCAGACUCCUACGGGAGGCAGCAGUAGGGAAUCUUCCGCAAUGGGCGAAAGCCUGACGGAGCAACGCCGCGUGAGUGAUGAAGGUCUUCGGAUCGUAAAACUCUGUUAUUAGGGAAGAACAUAUGUGUAAGUAACUGUGCACAUCUUGACGGUACCUAAUCAGAAAGCCACGGCUAACUACGUG